GGUUAAGCGACUAAGCGUACACGGUGGAUGCCCUGGCAGUCAGAGGCGAUGAAGGACGUGCUAAUCUGCGAUAAGCGCCGGUAAGGUGAUAUGAACCGUUAUAACCGGCGAUUUCCGAAUGGGGAAACCCAGUGUGAUUCGUCACACUAUCAUUAACUGAAUCCAUAGGUUAAUGAGGCGAACCGG
This 186-nucleotide ribosomal RNA is filed under the name Salmonella enterica. Its description in RNAcentral is "partial 23S ribosomal RNA". It matches the Rfam family "Bacterial large subunit ribosomal RNA", at positions 1 to 187 of the family's 2925-position model. RNAcentral also lists the same sequence under 2 other names. The record is from RNAcentral. Lineage: Bacteria; Pseudomonadati; Pseudomonadota; Gammaproteobacteria; Enterobacterales; Enterobacteriaceae.